This 243-nucleotide ribosomal RNA is filed under the name uncultured bacterium. RNAcentral's name for it is "partial 16S ribosomal RNA". It matches the Rfam family "Bacterial small subunit ribosomal RNA", at positions 529 to 771 of the family's 1533-position model. The record is from RNAcentral.
AGGGAGCGAGCGUUGUCCGGAAUUACUGGGUGUAAAGGGAGUGUAGGCGGGACUGCAAGUCAGAUGUGAAAUUUAGGGGCUUAACCCCUAAACUGCAUUUGAAACUGUGGAUCUUGAGUGAAGUAGAGGUAAGCGGAAUUCCUAGUGUAGCGGUGAAAUGCGUAGAUAUUAGGAGGAACAUCAGUGGCGAAGGCGGCUUACUGGGCUUUUACUGACGCUGAGGCUCGAAAGCAUGGGGAGCAA